Molecule: ribosomal RNA, 177 nt
Filed under: uncultured bacterium
Lineage: Bacteria
Description: partial 16S ribosomal RNA
Rfam family: Bacterial small subunit ribosomal RNA
Source: RNAcentral
CCUACGGGAGGCAGCAGUGGGGAAUAUUGCGCAAUGGGCGGAAGCCUGACGCAGCGACGCCGCGUGGGGGAUGAAGCAUUUCGGUGUGUAAACCUCUUUCGCCAGGGACGAAGCGCAAGUGACGGUACCUGGAUAAGAAGCACCGGCCAACUACGUGCCAGCAGCCGCGGUAAUAAU